ACAUCAGUAAUGGCGUUGGCUGGAGGAAGCGGAAGGCAAACCGACGACCGCAGGAACACGAACAGACAGUGAGGCCGUCCUGCGCUGGGUGAGCUGGCUAGGAACAGUGAAACCCGAAGGCUGUUUGAAGGCAGGUGGUAGAGUCUGGCGGCGCGUUGGGACAGUACACGC
Molecule: non-coding RNA, 171 nt
Organism: Gammaproteobacteria bacterium
Lineage: Bacteria; Pseudomonadati; Pseudomonadota; Gammaproteobacteria
Source: Rfam